AAGUCGUAACAAGGUUUCCGUAGGUGAACCUGCGGAAGGAUCAUCGUUGUUUUGUGUGUGUGGGUUUUGUGGGUACAGAUUUUUUUUUCCUUAUAAAUCCCAACCAAGAGGAGAGGAGUUGACUGAGGCUUUUUGUGUGAGGAGUUGCGUGGAGAAAAAGGACAAAACUUUCAACAACGGAUCUCUUGGCUCUCA
RNAcentral lists this unclassified non-coding RNA (195 nucleotides) under fungal sp. RNAcentral describes it as "partial internal transcribed spacer region". The stretch from base 1 to 46 matches the Rfam family "Eukaryotic small subunit ribosomal RNA", at positions 1786 to 1831 of the family's 1831-position model. Lineage: Eukaryota; Fungi. The record is from RNAcentral.